This 593-nucleotide ribosomal RNA is filed under the name Dujonia zeylanoides. Its description in RNAcentral is "eukaryotic LSU rRNA". It matches the Rfam family "Eukaryotic large subunit ribosomal RNA", at positions 72 to 664 of the family's 3401-position model. The record is from RNAcentral. Lineage: Eukaryota; Fungi; Ascomycota; Pichiomycetes; Serinales; Debaryomycetaceae.
GGAUUGCCUCAGUAACGGCGAGUGAAGCGGCAAAAGCUCAAAUUUGAAAUCUAGCACUUUCAGUGUUCGAGUUGUAAUUUGAAGAAGGUAACUUUGGUUUUGGCUCUUGUCUAUGUUCCUUGGAACAGGACGUCACAGAGGGUGAGAAUCCCGUGCGAUGAGAUGCCCAAUUCCAUGUAAAGUGCUUUCGAAGAGUCGAGUUGUUUGGGAAUGCAGCUCUAAGUGGGUGGUAAAUUCCAUCUAAAGCUAAAUAUUGGCGAGAGACCGAUAGCGAACAAGUACAGUGAUGGAAAGAUGAAAAGAACUUUGAAAAGAGAGUGAAAAAGUACGUGAAAUUGUUGAAAGGGAAGGGCUUGAGAUCAGACUUGGUAUUUUGCGUUCCCUUCCUUUUUGGUUGGGUUCCUCGCAGUUUACUGGGCCAGCAUCGGUUUGGAUGGUAGGAUAAUGACAUUGGAAUGUAGCUUUACUUCGGUGAAGUGUUAUAGACUUUGUUGAUACUGCCUAUCUAGACCGAGGACUGCGUCUUUGACUAGGAUGCUGGCGUAAUGAUCUUAAGCCGCCCGUCUUGAAACACGGACCUCCUGUGUGAAGUG